This 582-nucleotide ribosomal RNA is filed under the name Nematocharax venustus. RNAcentral describes it as "partial 16S ribosomal RNA". It matches the Rfam family "Bacterial large subunit ribosomal RNA", at positions 1809 to 2604 of the family's 2925-position model. Lineage: Eukaryota; Metazoa; Chordata; Actinopteri; Characiformes; Acestrorhamphidae. The record is from RNAcentral.
AAAAACAUCGCCUCCUGCAAAAAUCCACGUAUAGGAGGUCCUACCUGCCCAGUGACUUAGUUUUUAACGGCCGCGGUAUUUUGACCGUGCAAAGGUAGCGCAAUCACUUGUCUUUUAAAUAAAGACCUGUAUGAAUGGUGAGACGAGGGCUUAACUGUCUCCCUUUUCCAAUCAAUGAAAUUGAUCUACCCGUGCAGAAGCGGGUAUAAAUAUACAAGACGAGAAGACCCUAUGGAGCUUAAGACAUAAAGUCACCUGUGCAAAAAUCCUUAAUAAAAAGAAUAAAGCUAAACACUAACUGACUAACGUCUUUGGUUGGGGCGACCGCGGAGAAAAAAAAAUCCUCCACGUGGAAUGGAUUACCCUAAACCACGAAAUACACCUCUAAGUCACAGAACUUCUGACCAAACGAUCCGGUGUAAACCGAUCAACGAACCAAGUUACCCUAGGGAUAACAGCGCAAUCCUCUUCAAGAGUCCAUAUCGACAAGGGGGUUUACGACCUCGAUGUUGGAUCAGGACAUCCUAAUGGUGUAGCCGCUAUUAAGGGUUCGUUUGUUCAACGAUUAAAGUCCUACGUGAU